AUUCCAUGGUGAGGGCAAUUUUUAUCAUCAUAUUGAAACGCUCAAAUGCCUCGUGAAACAUCUCACCAUGUUGUUGUUGGAAGCUUCUCAACCCCUUUCUUGCGU
This 105-nucleotide small nucleolar RNA is filed under the name Helianthus annuus (common sunflower). Its description in RNAcentral is "Plant small nucleolar RNA R71". It matches the Rfam family "Plant small nucleolar RNA R71". From Rfam's summary of the family: R71 is a member of the C/D box family of snoRNAs containing the C (UGAUGA) and D (CUGA) box motifs. Multiple nearly identical copies of this snoRNA have been identified in Arabidopsis, and it is thought to function as a 2'-O-ribose methylation guide for 18S ribosomal RNA. Lineage: Eukaryota; Viridiplantae; Streptophyta; Magnoliopsida; Asterales; Asteraceae. The record is from RNAcentral.